AUACCUCGACACAAUACCACCGCUUCCACGGUUCCUCGCCGCUUUCACAGGAGGACCAGUGUUCCCUCAGUCGGUCUGUCCUACAAGGCAGCAAAGCCUAGUCUGAAGGCAUUUGGCCUACAGCCUCAGAGGACAACCACGAGAACUCAUGACUCAUGUUACCAGCAUCUUCAACAUACAAGGCAACCCAGGCAGCAGUCUGGACAUUGGUCAACACUUGGCUUGUAAGGCCUAGGUGAGGCUUUUAGUUACGAUCUACAAGCUGCGAUGCCUGAGGAGCGACGCAUAAUGGUGAGCGGUAGCUACAUACCGUGAUAUCACUUCAUGCCUCCUUCAGUACCUCUACUUAUGUCGCCCAGAGCCAAACUCCCGAAUGCCUGACCAUGGGCCGUAUUGGUUUGCAGUCCUUGAUCACCUCAUUGUAACUUUGCUGUCACCACCGUGCUAUGCUGGAAAUGAGGCUUGGUAACCACCGGCUGCGCCAUCUGGUUCUGCCUACUCCGUCCGCUCUCCUCGACUUCAAUCUCCAAGGGGCCGAAUUGAGUCAUGCUGUUUCGUUCUUUGGCGCUUCCUAGCUGUCCUGUGGGGAGAGCGAUGGAAGGAAUGAAGGCCAGUGCCUACCAUUCCGCCUAAAACUCAACGAAGUGUUGCUGCAUACACCUGGUCCGUUGACAAAGCAAUGCGCAAUCUGCUUCGUUUUAUCUAAUCAACUCCGGAUAGUUAACUUGCACUCGAAAAACCAAGCUCUAUAUAAUCAGAUCUAUCCACUGCCGUCCUUACCAGAUCCGAUCUCUUUCUUUGUCUCGAGAAGCAAGUUCUUUUGAGUCUCUACAAGUUGAUCAGUAUCUUCCCGGCAAGUCUUCUUUUCCUCGUUAAACCACCAAAGUACGCCAAAGUGCCUUUCUGUCCGACGACCGAGAUGGGCGGCAACCAAGAGACAUAUAUUAGUAAUAGCGGGAGCCGGCCCCCCUGCUACAAUUCACGCACUACAUCACCAUCGUCGAGCAGUCACUCAAGGUCCUCAGCCAAUUCUGUUUUUUACAGGUCAGGCACUGCAGAUAAUCACAAUGUUACCACUCAAAAAAAGAGCGACGUUGUUGUUAUCAAUCACCACCAGCCGAAUCCAGCCAAGGACGAGCCUCGAUCGUCAGACUAUUAUAGAAGAUAGUAGUAGUACGGAUACAUCCGUGUCUAUUUCUUUCUAUGGAUUACCGCUUGGUGUCCAUGUCUCAGUAUGCAGGAAAUUGUACGAUAUCGUCCUGUAGCAUUACCAGACGUGGGGUUACUCUUGGGUUGUGGUCUUUCAUGAUGUUGACUGAAGUUUCCUCGUUAUGGCAGGAGUUAGUGUAGAGUAUUGGAUGAAUGAAGGAAGACGGUCAGUCACUUAGUAUUAGGUCGGUCUGCUGGUAGAAAAUGAAUUUCUUGCAUCUGU
Neurospora crassa OR74A is the source of this 1432-nucleotide non-coding RNA. The record is from RefSeq and is a predicted model, not a curated record. NCBI's taxonomy places the organism in Eukaryota, Fungi, Ascomycota, Sordariomycetes, Sordariales, Sordariaceae.